GGGGGGUGGAGAAGUUGGGAUGGGACGGGGGAGAGGUCUGCAGUGCCUACAGGGAAAGGGGGUGGAUUAUUUCUGAAGGGCAAUGUGAAAGUUGUAAACAUGGGAGUGGCAUAAUCCUAUUUACUUUAUAAACCUCCAGUGCUGUAUUUACAGCUCCCAGGGAAAUUCAGGCAGGUGCAGUAUCACCUUUUGUUAGGGAUAAUAUCACUAAACUCUUAACAGAAUCCCUUUAGCCUGUAGGCCCUGACUUUCCAUCAUUGGAUGCUAAAAUUCAAAAGGACACUUCCUUUUCCAGAGCUUUAUACCCCCUCAUCAUGCUAAGGGAAUGCAACUGUCAGAGCAACUAGUGGUUUGGUUGACAGACCCUAGGGAAAUGCCAAGAUAAUUUACAAAGAAAAUUGAUCCAGACCUCAAUUUGAAUCCCACCUGCUUUUCCUAUCCUAGGAUAUGCCAUCCUUUUGUUGUUUCCUUUUUUUCCAUAGGCUCAAAACUAAACGUUAAUGUGAGCUGCUUGACCAAACUGAACAUUAUUAAAGUUAAUUUCAACAGUCCUACAGUUAGUGUUCCCAUAUAAGGCAUACCCUUGGCAGGAAGGACCACAGUUGAAUUUGAAUUUGGAUAAUUUAGAGUUCUCUUUGAAGCUAAAUUGUAGCUUUGAUAAAUUCAAGGAAAUUUCUUUUACCAACAUGUUUGGACACAAUAAGAGGGAAACAUACAACAUGUGGAAGCAUCAGGUGUGUGUAUGUUUAUGCUUGAAAGUAGAGACAGAGGUAACAGCAUCAGAAACCAGAAUACUAACAAGAUCCACCUGCACACAGGAGCUGAGCUGUUACACAGGAAAGAACCAGGGCUGAGGCAGGCAAGGGGUUGGGGAAACUUGCACCUCUUCUUAUUAACUGUUGACAGACAAGCCCCUGGCUCCCCUCCCCAUGCCUAACAAAAAUAAAAUCACCAGUCUGCCCUUCUCCUAGAUUACACAGCCUGGAAUACACAGAUAUUAAAAUCAACCUUUUCUGCUGCCCAAACUGUUCAUGUCCCAGGCGCAAUGACUGUGUCAUUGACUCAAAACCAUUAAAGUCAUUAAAAUAGUGAAAAUUCACAUAAAUCUGUGAAUAAUACAGCAGGCUCAACAGCACUACUCAUGACCCCAACCCCACACACCUAGAAACAUCCAGUGGUACAGAACCAUGAACAGCAGCCCUCAAGUGGGCUGGAGUGCAGGGAUGUGGGGAGGGAAGGGGGGCUAUCUCUUAGGGCCAAUGCCUCAUGACAGCUGAAAUCAAACAACACUAUACCCUUAGACUAGCCUGGGCUAGUGUGACAGAUGAGGGAUCCUGGGUUUGCAUAGAGUAUGGCUCACAUAUCUGACUAAGGCUUUGCAUUCUUCUUAUCUAAGUUAAUGCCUUUCAUUGUACAUUGCCCCCAAUUCCCACUAGUUCAGGGUUUCUUAUCAACCACCUGUCUCACAACCUCAUGGCCCAUUUAUUAAAAAUGUGCCCCACUGAGAAUAAACAUCUCCAGACUGGACUUACAUACUGCAUUUUUAAACACUACCUGGGUCAUCUUUAUGCAGAUUUAAGUUUGAGGACCUCUGCUCUACAGCAAUGUUUCUUAAACUGUGGGCCGUGACCCGUUUGGUCAAGAAACCAAAUAAAUGAGUCAUGACCAGCAGUUGAUUUUUUUUUUUUAAGUAAGUAGGAAAAAAUUAUAAAUAGAACACACUGCAGGUAGUCAGGGCAAUUAUUGUUUCUGGGAACUUAUGCACUUGUGGACCUCUGUGCAGGGAUGUAAAAUGUAUUCCUCACUGUGGAUCCCACUCAGAGUUUGAAAACCACUAUCCUAGAGGGAAAAAGGAAAACAAUAUUCUUGCACAUGCGUUUAUUUUCAUUUUCCACCCCUAAUUCCAAGCUUCUGGAGUUUAGUUCAAGCACAAGAUAUCAAGACAGAAAGGCUGUUAUCAAAUCCUAAACUGAUAAGGCAAAGCCAAACUAAGGAGGGGGAUGAGCCCAAGGCCCACACUCGGCUCCUGCCUGAGACCCUUAUCAUGGAGCUGGGGAUAAGGAAAGGUGCCAAAGAGAAAUUUGCACAACUCUCCUCAGGCUGGACCUGUUCCUUGGUAAAGAACCUGUAGCCACUCACUGUCACAGUUUAGAGGAAUUAAAAUGUUCCCCAUGGGGGGGAAUGGGGGGUCAGAGGAGGCUCAGUCUCAGUAUAAGGGAUAGACAGAAGUCAGGUUCAACCCAUCUUUGCAGUCCUGUGGCAGUGACGAGGUCAAAGGAAAGUCAGGAAAGGGUGAAUGGUCAAGUCUCACCCCAGCACCAGCGACAUGAGUUGCCUUGGACAAGUCGCGUAACCUCUCAGUCCCCUAGGUUCCAUGCAUGGCUAAUGUUCUGGCAGCAAGUGGGGCACACGCAAUCAGACAGCUUCCCUUCUUGCCCAAUGCUCUAGGACAGGGAGUCCCAUCUUGCACAUCUUGCCUGACCAGAAGAGAGGAACAUGGGAGGAAGGGCAAGGGGGAAAAGAUGGUAGCUAGCUGUGUUGUUAGCUUUCAGACUCACCAGAAGCAAGGACUUACUGAAAAGAGCCUCAAGACCCCAGGAGAGCAAACUGACAAGGAGGCCAGAGAGCAAAAAACCCAGCGAAGCCCAGGAGCAUUUUCCCGUGCCAUUCACAGCCGCGGGACUGCGGGAGGGUCAGCUACAUAACAGAAAUAAACGGAGGACACUCACUCACUUGGCUUUGUAAGCUCUGGUAAGCUGAGAGUGAAGUCAGAGGUGGCAGUCUCCUGGGCUGGGUCCAAAAGAACAGGUGGUUCCCCCCACCCGCCAACUAGAGAAAAGCCACCACUUGGGUAAAGACAUCCAGAGGAAGUCAGCGGCCGAGGGUGAACUGGAAGCAGUGAGAGAUCGGCGCUGCCCCUCAGCGCAAGUUCCCGAAAGUUUCUUUUUGGGCCAAUCUUGUGCACGUGGACCUGAGUGGCAAGAGCUCGUGCUACAGAGCUCUACAGAAGCAAGUGGAAACAGGGAGCUGUUCUGAGCAGAAGAGGUACAGAAUCACGUGACCUAAAAGUGAUGACUGCAGGAAUAUAACCAAGAAAAGGGGAAAUAAAUCAGCUACAGAGAAGGCACUGGGCAAAACUUGUAAAGAGUUAUACAGUGCAUCUGAACUUUUACUAAAGUACACAGAACUGUAGUUUCUUCAUUGAUACCUUGGGAUCUCACAGAGCCUGCUGCACAUAAAUAAAACUUACUUGCCUUAAUGAGAGCCUCAUUACUUUUAAUUGUACUUUUAAUUGUAAUGGUUCUUGAAUCUAUGCUUUUGCCUUCUUUGCUAGGAAGGAACACCUUCUCAAAAGAAUUCUUUGUAUUUUAGAAUUACUACUUGUGUCAUGAUAUUCCUUCUGCACUAUCACUUGUAUUCUGAAAGAGAAUCUUCAGUGUUUAAGGUUUUUUAACACUUUGAAUUUCAAAUCCUCUUAGCUGAUUUUACAGCUAUAUUUGCUUAUAGAGGCUUAGUGUACCAUUUCAAACUAUAUCAACUUAAUUUUUUAUAGAUAUAUUUUCUUCAAACAGAAAAAUUUCAGUUGGUGGAUGGCCCUACUUUUAUAUACUACCUGAUAAUCAUGAUCCUGGCUUAAUUUGAUUAAUUCUAUUUGGGAGGUACGGUAAAGAAAGCUUGAGCUAUAGAGUGGAAGGAUUAAAUACUUUCGUUAAUUCAAAAUUACACAAAAAAUUUUGAUUAACUAACAAAAACUAGACACUAAAAAAUAGAAAUCAUAUUUUGUUUUAUAAUAUACAUAAUAAAAUUAAUAAAAUGUUGGCAAACAACUAAUAUUACCAUGUGAAAAUAAUAAUUCUGUGAGCCAGUCCAAUUAUAUUGAACUUAAAUUGCAAGGUCCACUAUCUCUACUAAAUCCAUUAUCUAUAAAUUCAUCAUCUUUAUUCGUAAAUUUCUGGUUAGUUGCUUCCAUCCAG
Molecule: long non-coding RNA, 3974 nt
Organism: Aethalodelphis obliquidens (Pacific white-sided dolphin)
Lineage: Eukaryota; Metazoa; Chordata; Mammalia; Artiodactyla; Delphinidae
Exons: 4
Source: RefSeq, a predicted model, not a curated record